CUAACACAUGCAAGUCGAACGAGGCGGAAGGGGGCAACUCCUUCCGUCGAGUGGCGGACGGGUGAGUAACACGUGGGUAACCUGCCCGGAAGUGGGGAAUACCUCGGGGAAACUCGAGCUAAUACCGCAUGACAUCUUCGGGACGACAGUCCUGACGAUCAAAGCGGGGUCGCAAGAUCUCGCGCUACCGGAUGGGCCCGCGCCCGAUUAGCUAGUUGGCGAGGUAAUGGCUCACCAAGGCUUCGAUCGGUAACCGGCCUGAGAGGGCGAUCGGUCACACCGGAACUGAGACACGGUCCGGACUCCUACGGGAGGCAGCAGUGGGGAAUCUUGCGCAAUGGGCGAAAGCCUGACGCAGCAACGCCGCGUGGAGGAUGAAGGCCCUUGGGUUGUAAACUCCUGUCGGCUGGGAAGAAAUCGUUCGCGGUUAAUACCCGCGGACGUUGACUGUACCAGCAAAGGAAGCCCCGGCUAACUCUGUGCCAGCAGCCGCGGUAAUACAGAGGGGGCUAGCGUUAUUCGGAAUUAUUGGGCGUAAAGGGCGCGUAGGCGGCCCUGCAUGUCUUCCGUGAAAUCCCUCGGCUUAACUGAGGACGUGCGGAAGAAACUGCGGGGCUCGAGUCCGGGAGAGGGGGGUGGAAUUCCCAGUGUAGCGGUGAAAUGCGUAGAUAUUGGGAGGAACACCGGUGGCGAAGGCGGCCCCCUGGACCGGUACUGACGCUGAGGCGCGAAA
Molecule: ribosomal RNA, 733 nt
Filed under: uncultured soil bacterium
Lineage: Bacteria
Description: bacterial SSU rRNA
Rfam family: Bacterial small subunit ribosomal RNA
Source: RNAcentral